RNAcentral lists this transfer RNA (85 nucleotides) under Candidatus Improbicoccus devescovinae. RNAcentral's name for it is "tRNA-Leu". It matches the Rfam family "tRNA". From Rfam's summary of the family: Transfer RNA (tRNA) molecules are approximately 80 nucleotides in length. Lineage: Bacteria; Bacillati; Bacillota; Clostridia. The record is from RNAcentral.
GCGGGCAUGGCGGAAUUUGGUAGACGCGCACGAUUCAGGUUCGUGUGAUAUUAUCAUGCAGGUUCGAGUCCUGUUGCCCGCACCA